UGACACAGGGAGGUAGUGACAAGAAAUAACAAUACAGGGCUUUCGUCUUGUAAUUGGAAUGAUGGUGAUGUACAACCUCACCAGAGUACCAAUUGGAGGGCAAGUCUGGUGCCAGCAGCCGCGGUAAUUCCAGCUCCAAUAGCGUAUAUUAAACUUGUUGCAGUUAAAAAGCUCGUAGUUGUAUUUCAGCCUCGCGUUUUUUCCCUUUAGUUGGGUCUUUUCGCUGGCUUUUUUUUAACUUUGAGAAAAUUAGAGUGUUUCAAGCAGACUUUUGUCUUGAAUACUUCAGCAUGGAAUAAUAGAGUAGGACCUUGGUUCUAUUUUGUUGGUUUCGAGCCUUGGUAAUGGUUAAUAGGAACGGUUGGGGGCAUUCGUAUUUAACUGUCAGAGGUGAAAUUCUUA
RNAcentral lists this ribosomal RNA (402 nucleotides) under Babesia bigemina. RNAcentral's name for it is "SSU rRNA". It matches the Rfam family "Eukaryotic small subunit ribosomal RNA", at positions 452 to 922 of the family's 1831-position model. Lineage: Eukaryota; Apicomplexa; Aconoidasida; Piroplasmida; Babesiidae. The record is from RNAcentral.